This 291-nucleotide ribosomal RNA is filed under the name uncultured bacterium. RNAcentral's name for it is "partial 16S ribosomal RNA". It matches the Rfam family "Bacterial small subunit ribosomal RNA", at positions 225 to 507 of the family's 1533-position model. The record is from RNAcentral.
AGCGGCCGAUGUCAGAUUAGCUAGUUGGUGAGGUAAGGCUUACCAAGGCGACGAUCUGUAGCGGGUCUGAGAGGAUGAUCCGCCACACUGGAACUGAGACACGGUCCAGACUCCUACGGGAGGCAGCAGGUGGGGUAAGUUUUGGACAAUGGGGCAACCCUGAUCCAGCCAUGCCGCGUGAGUGAAGAAGGCCUUCGGGUUGUAAAGCUCUUUCGGCCGGGAAGAAAUCGCAUGGGUGAAUACCCUGUGUGGAUGACGGUACCGGAACAAGAAGCACCGGCUAACUACGUG